UAACAACCUGGAAACAGAUGCUAAUACCGGAUAAUAACAGAUGAUGCCUAUCAACUGUUUAAAAGAUGGUUCUGCUAUCACUCUUGGAUGGACCUGCGGUGCAUUAGCUAGUUGGUAGGGUAACGGCCUACCAAGGCGAUGAUGCAUAGCCGAGUUGAGAGACUGAUCGGCCACAUUGGGACUGAGACACGGCCCAAACUCCUACGGAGGCAGCAGGG
RNAcentral lists this ribosomal RNA (218 nucleotides) under uncultured Lactobacillus sp. RNAcentral describes it as "partial 16S ribosomal RNA". It matches the Rfam family "Bacterial small subunit ribosomal RNA", at positions 144 to 354 of the family's 1533-position model. The record is from RNAcentral. Lineage: Bacteria; Bacillati; Bacillota; Bacilli; Lactobacillales; Lactobacillaceae.